GAUGAACGCUGCCAGAAUGCUUAACACAUGCAAGUCAACUUGAAUUUGGGUUUUUAACUUAGGUUUGGGUGGCGGACGGGUGAGUAACGCGUAAAGAACUUGCCUCACAGCUAGGGACAACAUUUGGAAACGAAUGCUAAUACCUAAUAUUAUGAUAAUAGGGCAUACUAUAAUUAUGAAAGCUAUAAGCGCUGUGAGAGAGCUUUGCGUCCCAUUAGCUAGUUGGAGAGGUAACGGCUCACCAAGGCGAUGAUGGGUAGCCGGCCUGAGAGGGUGAUCGGCCACAAGGGGACUGAGACACGGCCCUUACUCCUAGGGGAGGCAGCAGGGGGAAAUAUUGGACAAUGGACCGAGAGUCUGAUCCAGCAAUUCUGUGUGCACGAUGAAGUUUUUCGGAAUGUAAAGUGCUUUCAGUUGGGAAGAAACAAAUGACGGUACCAACAGAAGAAGUGACGGCUAAAUACGUG
This 467-nucleotide ribosomal RNA is filed under the name uncultured bacterium. Its description in RNAcentral is "partial 16S ribosomal RNA". It matches the Rfam family "Bacterial small subunit ribosomal RNA", at positions 28 to 507 of the family's 1533-position model. The record is from RNAcentral.